CCGGUAAACGGCGGCCGUAACUAUAACGGUCCUAAGGUAGCGAAAUUCCUUGUCGGGUAAGUUCCGACCUGCACGAAUGGCGUAAUGAUGGCCAGGCUGUCUCCACCCGAGACUCAGUGAAAUUGAACUCGCUGUGAAGAUGCAGUGUACCCGCGGCAAGACGGAAAGACCCCGUGAACCUUUACUAUAGCUUGACACUGAACAUUGAGCCUUGAUGUGUAGGAUAGGUGGGAGGCUUUGAAGUGUGGACGCCAGUCUGCAUGGAGCCGACCUUGAAAUACCACCCUUUAAUGUUUGAUGUUCUAACGUUGACCCGUAAUCCGGGUUGCGGACAGUGUCUGGUGGGUAGUUUGACUGGGGCGGUCUCCUCCUAAAGAGUAACGGAGGAGCACGAAGGUUGGCUAAUCCUGGUCGGACAUCAGGAGGUUAGUGCAAUGGCAUAAGCCAGCUUGACUGCGAGCGUGACGGCGCGAGCAGGUGCGAAAGCAGGUCAUAGUGAUCCGGUGGUUCUGAAUGGAAGGGCCAUCGCUCAACGGAUAAAAGGUACUCCGGGGAUAACAGGCUGAUACCGCCCAAGAGUUCAUA
Molecule: ribosomal RNA, 585 nt
Filed under: Escherichia coli
Lineage: Bacteria; Pseudomonadati; Pseudomonadota; Gammaproteobacteria; Enterobacterales; Enterobacteriaceae
Description: partial 23S ribosomal RNA
Rfam family: Bacterial large subunit ribosomal RNA
Source: RNAcentral